Molecule: non-coding RNA, 27 nt
Filed under: Mus musculus (house mouse)
Lineage: Eukaryota; Metazoa; Chordata; Mammalia; Rodentia; Muridae
Source: RNAcentral
UGGAUAAAGGUGAAUUUGAGAUGAGCU